GUGAGGAAUAUUGCGCAAUGGAGGCAACUCUGACGCAGCCAUGCCGCGUGCAGGAAGAAGGCGCUACGCGUUGUAAACUGCUUUUAACCGGGAAGAAACCCCAGGACGUGUCCUGGGUUGACGGUACCGGAGGAAUAAGCACCGGCUAACUUCGUGCCAGCAGCCGCGGUAAUACGAAGGGUGCAAGCGUUAUCCGGAUUCAUUGGGCUGAAAGGGUGCGUAGGCGGAGCGUUAAGUCAGUGGUGAAAUCCUGCAGCUUAACUGUAGACUGGCCAUGGAUACGUGCGCUCUUGAGUGCGCUUGAAGUGGGCGGAAUGUGCCGUGUAGCGGUGAAAUGCUUAGAUAUGGCACGGAAAACCAAUUGCGAAGGCAGCUCACUAAGGCGAUACUGACGCUGAGGCACGAAAGCGUGGGGAUCGAACAGGAUUAGAAACCCUGGUAGUCC
RNAcentral lists this ribosomal RNA (445 nucleotides) under uncultured bacterium. RNAcentral describes it as "partial 16S ribosomal RNA". It matches the Rfam family "Bacterial small subunit ribosomal RNA", at positions 354 to 796 of the family's 1533-position model. The record is from RNAcentral.